GGGUCUAUAGCUCAGGUGGUUAGAGCGCACGCCUGAUAAGCGUGAGGUCGAUGGUUCGAGUCCAUUUAGACCCA
Transfer RNA from Clostridium perfringens str. 13, 74 nucleotides. It matches the Rfam family "tRNA". From Rfam's summary of the family: Transfer RNA (tRNA) molecules are approximately 80 nucleotides in length. The record is from Rfam. NCBI's taxonomy places the organism in Bacteria, Bacillati, Bacillota, Clostridia, Eubacteriales, Clostridiaceae.